Molecule: non-coding RNA, 70 nt
Organism: Solanum tuberosum (potato)
Lineage: Eukaryota; Viridiplantae; Streptophyta; Magnoliopsida; Solanales; Solanaceae
Source: Rfam
ACAUCAGUUGUCUAGUGGUAGAAUAGUACCCUGCCACGGUACAGACCGGGUUCAAUUCCUGGCUGGUGCA